UGCCAGCAGCCGCGGUAAUACGAAGGGUGCUAGCGUUGUUUGGAAUUACUGGGCGUAAAGAGCAUGUAGGCGGAUGAAUUAGUCAGAGGUGAAAGCCCCGAGCUCAACUUGGGAACUGCCUUUGAUACUGCAAAUCUUGAGUUCGGAAGGGAGAGGCGGAAUUCCAGGUGUAGUGGUGAAAUGCGUAAAUAUCAGGAGGAACACCGGUGGCGAAGGCGACCAUCUGGGACGGAACUGACGCUGAUGAACGAAAGCUAGGGUAUCAAACGGGAUUAGAUA
This 279-nucleotide ribosomal RNA is filed under the name uncultured bacterium. Its description in RNAcentral is "partial 16S ribosomal RNA". It matches the Rfam family "Bacterial small subunit ribosomal RNA", at positions 506 to 784 of the family's 1533-position model. The record is from RNAcentral.